RNAcentral lists this ribosomal RNA (253 nucleotides) under uncultured bacterium. Its description in RNAcentral is "partial 16S ribosomal RNA". It matches the Rfam family "Bacterial small subunit ribosomal RNA", at positions 524 to 776 of the family's 1533-position model. The record is from RNAcentral.
UACGAAGGGGGCUAGCGUUGCUCGGAAUCACUGGGCGUAAAGGGUGCGUAGGCGGGUUCUUAAGUCCGAGGUGAAAUCCUGGAGCUCAACUCCAGAACUGCCUUUGAUACUGAGAGUCUUGAGUUCGGGAGAGGUGAGUGGAACUGCGAGUGUAGAGGUGAAAUUCGUAGAUAUUCGCAAGAACACCAGUGGCGAAGGCGGCUCACUGGCCCGAUACUGACGCUGAGGCACGAAAGCGUGGGGAGCAAACAGG